CCUACGGGUGGCAGCAGUGAGGAAUAUUGGUCAAUGGGCGCUAGCCUGAACCAGCCAAGUCGCGUGAAGGAUGACUGCCCUAUGGGUUGUAAACUUCUUUUAUAUGGGAAUAAAGUGCAGUAUGUAUACUGUUUUGAAUGUACCUUAUGAAUAAGGAACGGCUAACUCCGUGCCAGCAGCCGCGGUAAUACGGAGGGUCCGAGCGUUAUCCGGAUUUAUUGGGUUUAAAGGGAGCGUAGGCGGGUUGUUAAGUCAGUUGUGAAAGUUUGCGGCUCAACCGUAAAAUUGCAGUUGAUACUGGCAUCCUUGAGUACAGUAGAGGUAGGCGGAAUUCGUGGUGUAGCGGUGAAAUGCUUAGAUAUCACGAAGAACUCCGAUUGCGAAGGCAGUUCACUGGACUGCAACUGACACUGAGGCUCGAAAGUGUGGGUAUCAAACAGGAUUAGAUACCCUUGUAGUC
This 460-nucleotide ribosomal RNA is filed under the name uncultured bacterium. RNAcentral's name for it is "partial 16S ribosomal RNA". It matches the Rfam family "Bacterial small subunit ribosomal RNA", at positions 338 to 795 of the family's 1533-position model. The record is from RNAcentral.